CCUACGGGAGGCAGCAGUGAGGAAUAUUGGUCAAUGGGCGCUAGCCUGAACCAGCCAAGUAGCGUGAAGGAUGAAGGCCCUAUGGGUUGUAAACUCCGUUUAUAGGGGAAAAAAGUGCAGUAGGUAUACAGCAUUGCAUGGACCGUAUGAAUAAGGAUCGGCUAACUCCGUGCCAGCAGCCGCGGUAAGACGGAGGGGCCGAGCGUUAGCCGGAUUUAUUGGGUUUAAAGGGAGCGUAGGCGGGUUGUUAAGUCAGUUGUGAACGUUAGCGGCUCAACCGUAAAAUUGCAGUUGAUACUGGCAUCCUUGAGUACAGUAGAGGUAGGCGGAAUUCCUGGUGUAGCGGUGAAAUGCUUAGAUAUCACGAAGAACUCCGAUUGCGAAGGCAGCCUGCUGGACUGUAACUGACGCUGAUGCUCGAAAGUGUGGGUAUCAAACAGGAUUAGAUACCCCGGUAGUC
This 460-nucleotide ribosomal RNA is filed under the name uncultured bacterium. RNAcentral describes it as "partial 16S ribosomal RNA". It matches the Rfam family "Bacterial small subunit ribosomal RNA", at positions 338 to 795 of the family's 1533-position model. The record is from RNAcentral.